GAGAAUAUGCUGGACUGGCCACUAUCCGAGCCUACUUAAACCAGAAAGGAGAGGGGCACAGAACGGUUUGCCUCAUUCCGAAAUCAGCACAUGGGACCAACCCAGCAAGUGCCCACAUGGCAGGCAUGAAGAUUCAGCCUGUGGAGGUGGAUAAAUAUGGGAAUAUCGAUGCAGUUCACCUCAAGGCCAUGGUACUUGUCUUCUCCUUAGCAGAUGGGAGAGGCCGGGAUGGGGAGUGCUGGUGGGGAUCAGGGACUUGAUGGAUUAUGUAAAUGUCUUCUCUUGCAUUCUAAUGAAAAGUCUGCAGUUCUUCCUUUGACCAGAGUCUACUCUACCCCUCCCAUCACCAACAGGGAGAAAUCCCCGUUUUCUAAUUCCAGCUUGUGUAAAAAACUGAAUGAAUUAUUCAUGGUGGUAGUAAGAGUACUCCUUGCAGAACCUGCCUGCCUCUUUCUGCCCAAUCUUCCCUCUCCUUCUCGCCUUCCCCACUUAAUAAUCAAAAUGGCAGUCACACUUACACAUCUUCGUGUCAGGAAUUGUAACACAAAUGUCAGCUUUGCAAAUAUCCAUGACUGUGCCAGCCCCAUCAUGCUGAAUUCCUGGCAUCAUGCAGCUUGGUUUCCACCAACCCCCACUCUCAACCUCCCAACCUCCAGGAAGAAGUUGCUUAGCAACCGUAUCUGCUUCCCACCAGCGGACUGGCAGCUGCAUCUUAAGCGGGAAGGAAACCAGUGGAAUAGCAAUGUGAUUUUGAUGGUGGUGUUAUUAGGCAUGGAGACUGUGAACUCUGUGCAGUUGCCUU
This 802-nucleotide long non-coding RNA is filed under the name Homo sapiens (human). Its description in RNAcentral is "non-protein coding lnc-RANBP6-4:1". The record is from RNAcentral. Lineage: Eukaryota; Metazoa; Chordata; Mammalia; Primates; Hominidae.